This is a long non-coding RNA of Sitophilus oryzae (rice weevil), 432 nucleotides long. RefSeq lists it as uncharacterized. Lineage: Eukaryota; Metazoa; Arthropoda; Insecta; Coleoptera; Curculionidae. The transcript is spliced from 3 exons. The record is from RefSeq and is a predicted model, not a curated record.
UAUAAAUUUGGAUAUUUUAAAUUGUUUUGUUAGUGAAACCAUCGUUGAAAUUUUAAUGAAAAUGCCCGGCAAACGACUAAAUGAAGGGCAGAAAGAAUUCAUUAUGCGGUUGGUUGCUUAUUUCUUGCGGGAACGCGACAACGAUGGCCCUUAUUUGCUCCCUGUUACAUCAGUCCAGAAGGUGUCAUGUCAUCUCGAUCUUUAUCAAUGUUAAGGAAAUAAAUUUAUUAAUAAACAUCAUAUUCAAUACAUUAUGAUGAACAAUGCAGCAGAACAUUAUGAAUUUCGUCAUUUUAGGAACCCCAUGCAUAUCAACUGGCGAAACCUACUUUUCAUUGAAAAGUUUUCAAUAUUCCUUUUUUAAGUAAUUUGUUACUUAAUAAAUAUUUUUGUAAUAUUCAUCAAUAAUAAUAAAUUUAAAAUUUCAUGCAC